GUAAAUAAUUAUCUAAACAUAAGAACCAUAAAUAAAAUAGCAUGCAAUAAUAUCAUACAGUAACUACCAUAAAUAACUAGCAUAAGGGAGACACAAUCUAAAACACGAAUCAUCUCUAUGACUUCAUCACCUUUAACUCACAAAUUAUCAUAUUUUCUUUUCAGUUUAAGCAAGAAACACAUAACCUUUGAAGAUUUAGAUUUAUUUUAUUUUCUUAAAAAAAUCUAUUUUUCAUCUUUUUGUGUGUGUGGGUGUGUGAUAAUUUUCAAAUUCAUUCUAAAAGAC
Molecule: long non-coding RNA, 285 nt
Filed under: Nicotiana benthamiana
Lineage: Eukaryota; Viridiplantae; Streptophyta; Magnoliopsida; Solanales; Solanaceae
Description: long non-coding RNA (NBEN_LNC041358)
Source: RNAcentral